RNAcentral lists this ribosomal RNA (414 nucleotides) under uncultured microorganism. RNAcentral describes it as "bacterial SSU rRNA". It matches the Rfam family "Archaeal small subunit ribosomal RNA", at positions 459 to 872 of the family's 1478-position model. The record is from RNAcentral.
CAGCCGCCGCGGUAAUACCGGCGGCCCGAGUGGCGGUCACUCUUAUUGGGCUUAAAGCGUCCGUAGCCGGGGUGGGAAGUCCUCCGGGAAAUCUGGCCGCUUAACGGUCAGAAUGCCGGAGGAUACUCCCAGCCUAGGGGGCGGGAGAGGCCGAGGGGAUUCCCGGAGUAGGGGUGAAAUCCUAUAAUCCCGGGAGGACCACCUGUGGCGAAGGCGCUCGGCUGGAACGCGUCCGACGGUGAGGGGCGAAGGCCAGGGGAGCAAACCGGAUUAGAUACCCGGGUAGUCCUGGCUGUAAACGAUGCGGACUUUGUGUCGGACAAGCUAUGAGCUUGUCCGGUGCCGGAGGGAAACCGUUAAGUCCGCCGCCUGGGGAGUACGGCCGCAAGGCUGAAACUUAAAGGAAUUGGCGGG